GUAGGAAGUGAGAGAGUGGGUGUUAUUCCAGUAACAAAUGACCACACCUGAGCAUGAUCCGGGUCAGCGAGAAUCCUGCAAGUCACUCCUAUAUCCUCAACAAAACCAGAGCAGCUGCAGAUGUGGGAAUCAACAGUGAGACAAUUGUGAAACCAGCUUCAAUUUCAGAGGAAGAAUUGUUGAGUUUACUCAAGAAACUGAAUAGUAAUGAUAAUGUAGAUGGCCUCCUUGUUCAGCUGCCUCUUCCAGAGCAUAUUAAUAAGAGAAAGACCUGCAGUGCUGUUUCUCCAGACAAGGAUGUUGACGGCUUCCGUGUAAUUAAUGUAGGGCGAAUAUGUUUGGACCAGUAUUCCAUGUUACGGGCUACCCCAUGGGAAAUAAUUAAGCGAACUGGCAUUCCUACCCUAGGGAAGAAUGUGGUUGUGGCUGGAAGGUCAAAAAAUGUUGGAAUGCACAUUGCAAUGUUACUGCACACAGAAAGGGUCCAUGAAGGUCCCGAGGGUGAUGCCACUGUUACAAUAUCUCAUCAAUAUUCUCCCAAAGAGCAGCUGAAGAAACAUACGAUUCUUGCAGAUAUUGUAAGAUCUGCUGCCAGCAUUCCAAAUCUGAUCACAGCAGAUACCAUCAAGGAAGGAGCAGCAGUCAUUGAUCUGGGAAUAAAUAGAGUUCACAAUCCCGAAACUGUCAAACCUAAUUGUUUGGAGAUGGGGAUUUUGAAGGAGUCAGACAAAAAGCUGGUUAUAUCACUCCAGUUCCUGGAGGUGUUGUCUCCAUAACAGUGACGAUGCUAAUGAGAAUACCUUUAUUGCUGCAAAAGAAAAGGGAGGGAGCUGAGGCUUGAAGCACAAGAAGUGCUGAAGUCUAAAGAGCUUGGAGUAGUCACUAAUUUAUUGUGUCUUCUAUGCCACAAGCAGAACUCCAAGCCAGAUCAAGAAGCAAAGCAGGCCAAUAGAAAUGCAAUAUUUUUAAUUUAUUCUACUGAAAUGGUUUAAAACGAUGCUUUGUAUUUGUUGAAAGCUUAAAUGGGUAGGUGUUUGUGCACAUAGCUCGGUAGUACCUCACCAGGGAGCAUUCCAGGAUCGCGCAGGGUCACGUGAUCUAGCCAAGAACAGCCAUUAACCUAUUGAUGAACAUGGGAGACAUUGUCAUAUUGGGAGUGGACGCUUAACUUUGUCAAGCACCUCAGUUAAACAUUUGCCUUUUCUAGAAUUGCAUUUCCCAAGUGCUAUUCCAGUAAGAGUUGAUACUCAUUUCAGGUACUAAACCUUUUAGGUUCAACUGAUUAAACCAAAGGAAAAAUGUUGCUAGAGAAGAUUAAGGAAAAGAUGAAAAAUAAAAAAUGGUAAUAAUUGAGUAGAAAAAAAUUACUCGAAUUUAUAUAUGGAUUGAUUGGUAACCAGGUUUAUCUAAGUAGAACUGAAUUGGCUUGGAUAAAAGAAAAACUACAUGUUAAUCAUUUACCUACGCUGUCAUUUUGAAGCUUAGUCAGUCAUUGGGAAAACGUUUAGAAUUGUUCCUUGCUAUUAGGCCUCAUUUUAUGUAUGUUACCCUUCAGUAAGUUCUCCCCAUUUUAGUUUUCUAGAAUUUAAAGGCUUAUUUUAUAGAUUAUUCAUGUGUAUUAUCAUAUUUGGCUUUUGCUAUAUACUUCAUUGGUAAAUUUUUGUAUUGCAUAGUUUCUUUGAUAUAUCUUAAAACCUAUUUUUGAAAAACAAACUUGGCUUGAUAAUGAUUUGGGCAGCGUGGGUAACUAUGCAACUUAUUUUUCCACCAAAGAAUUGUCAGCAGCUGCCUACUUUUCUGUGAUGUACCCUGCUGACUUUUCCAGAAAAAUUUUAAGAGUUUGAGUUAAUAUCGAAUUUAAUCAGACUUUCUGAUUAAAGGUUUUUAAAAAAAAAAAAAUAAAACACAUCUGUCUGGUGUCUUUAAAAAGAAAGAAAAUUAUAGAAUAAAAUAGUCUCAUUGCUUUCAGCAUUUAAGCUUGAGACCUUUUU
Molecule: RNA transcript, 1991 nt
Organism: Sapajus apella (tufted capuchin)
Lineage: Eukaryota; Metazoa; Chordata; Mammalia; Primates; Cebidae
Gene name: bifunctional methylenetetrahydrofolate dehydrogenase/cyclohydrolase, mitochondrial pseudogene
Exons: 1
Source: RefSeq, a predicted model, not a curated record